Molecule: transfer RNA, 73 nt
Filed under: Marmota monax (woodchuck)
Lineage: Eukaryota; Metazoa; Chordata; Mammalia; Rodentia; Sciuridae
Description: tRNA.Val
Source: RNAcentral
GUAUGCUCAAUCAGUUGGUAGAAUGUUUGCCUCACAUGCACAAGGCCCUGGGUUCAAUCCCCAGCACCACACA